GCGCGGGCUGCAGGGGGGCCGAGCGGCGGCCGGGAGCCUGCGCUGCGGGGGGCGACCGAAGGGGUGACUGAAGUCCUGGAGCCAUCCCACGCCAGCCCGCCCUGGGAGUGCCAGGGAAAAAAAGGAGUGGAAAUACCUCCACCCAAGUGUUCUCUUCUUUUUUCUCCUGAGGUUCCAGCGUCUGGAAGGUAUCGGUUCCCACGUGGAUCUGCCAGUGCGCAAUGCCCUUAGCAGGCUCCUGGACUCUCCCCAGACCUAAGGGUCCGCGGGGGGGGGGCCGUGGGAUGGCUCCAGACUGGGGAGGUGUGGACUGAGGUGUGGCCUGAGGGUUCAGGGCCACACGGAGACCACCGGAGUGGGAUAUUGCAGGGUCGGCACCUGCUGUCCUAAAUGUCCCCUCAAUUCAGUCCUAAACAAGGCAGAAACUACCAGAUCAUCCUACAACUCCACGACUUGGAAGUUCUUACAAAAGCAACAGAACUUUGGCAACUCCUAAAGUCUUCCAGACACAUCCUGGACGUAUGUAUUCGGAAUUCCCAAGCUUUUACAAGACAGAUCCCGGCCAGCAGGGACUAUUCUGCAGUUCAUUCUAUCAUCCUAUAGUGUGUGCAUACUAAUGUGUCGAGCUCCUUGCUAGGCUCUGGAGAAACGGCCCUGCAAGAAUAGGACAGCUCUGCCUUCUGAAGCAAACCACAUCUGUGGGUGUUCUCCAGAAGUUCACCUGCCUUUGACUUGAAAUAGUAACUAGUACCUACUGCCUCAAUAAAGAGGGUUUGCUGUAUCUCUCACCCCACUCUUUUACUUUACUGACAUAAUAGAUCUUGGGUUUUCUUAAGAACUUUUCUUAACUGCCAUCUGCAGGGGACAGUUCUUAAUUCUUAUUCACCUUGACCAGUCUACUACAUCAUUUUCUACUACAGAUCUACUACACCUGCUUUCUUCUAAUCUCCUUCCUCUAACCUACUCUUCUUUGCCGGCUUGGCUCUUUGGCUCUUAAAUGUUGAGCUUUCCAAGAGAACCACCCCUGAACUUCUUUCCUGAAUACAGCCUGUGUCAUGGUCUCAUUCCCAUUCCCACAAUGUCAACUGCUACCUAUAUCCUGAGGAGUCCUAAAUAUUUCCAGCUCCUGGGAGGCAGGCCUAAACACUAAUUCUGGACAGGCCCAUCUAGCUUGCAAAAUCCAAACCUUAUCCCAAUACCUCCUGUCUUUCCACCACGUCAUCCACACUAGAAAUCUGAGGUCAUCCACAACUCCUAACUCAUCCCCUCUGUGGCAAUUUGAUAUUAUUUUUGAAUCCCCAAAAAAGAGAAAAAUUAUGUUUGUAAACUGGUCUCUUCCUCUGGGUGUAAUACCCUUUGGUUGUAUUAAAUUCAAAGGUUUUAAGUUUACUUAAUUAAAAGAUUAGGGCUUUGAUUUGACCACAGCAGUAGGGCAUGACUCAGGGUUGAGUCCCAACCCCUUGAUGGGCCAAUAUAAGUGGAAGGACUCUCAAGACAAACAGGAAGAGAGAGAGCUCCAUAGACACGGAAGAAGAGAGAAAUUUGAUCCUACCGCCCAGGAAAGAGAGAUGAGCCAUUCCCUGAUAGCUCGCAGCUGAAGAGAACAGAGCGCUGAGCCUCUAGUAAGGCCUGUAAAGAAAUGAGUCCUAUGCCAGACUGAUCUAGGAAGCCCUGAGAGACCAGGCAGAGAUCGCGCGCCAUCUUGCUUCAACGCGUGGCAACUGACUUUGUUGGACUCUUUAGGGUCUUGGGACGGUAAGCUUUUACCCAAAUAAAUACCCUAUAUAAAAGCCAGCAGAUUGCUGGUACUUUGCAUCAGCACCCCUUUGGCAGAUUAAUACAUUCUACAUCUAAUCUGUCACCAAGUGUCAUCAAGUUAACCUCCUAAAUAUCUUUUGACUCUACAUUCCACUCUUCAACCCUCAGCCAAACUUUAUUCUAGCUCUCCUCAUAUUAUUAGGAGCCUCUUAAUUAAUCUUCUGUCCUCUACCCUUUCCCCCUGUGCCAGAAUUGUCUUUCUAAAAUAUAAGUCUGAAUUUGUUCUUUAAAAAUUCUCCAGUGACUCCCUAAACAUGGGCCUCUUUGGUGUGGCAGUGAGGCUCUUUCUCUAUCAUCUGUCCACUCACCUUGUCAUUGAUCACUACCUUCCACACCAAUGCACCUCAUGUUCCAGUUUUAACAAGUCAAGCCUGCCAUUCUCCUUCGUGUCUCCUCGCUUUCCCUCAUUUUGUUCUCCCUGUCAAACUAGCUAACGCUGAGGGCUUUCCAUGUGCCCAGCACUGUUCUCAGCCCCGUGACACAUACUAACUCAAUCAGCACGUUAACCCUGUGAGCCAUGCCCAUUGAGUAUGCCCACACUACAGAGCUGGAAACUGAAGCACAGAGAGGAUCUAUAACAAGACCAGGUUUCACAGCUAGUAAGCGGCAGAGUUGGGAUUUUAAUCCAGAUAAUCUAGCCACAAAGCCUGAUCUCCUAAUCAUGGUACUGUAUUUCCUACCAAUAUCUCAGGAUUCAAAUCAAAGACCAUCCUCUCUGUGACUGGCUCCUGACAUCAUCCCUGGAUUUCCGCAUUUAGGCAUGCUCCUUUGGCACUUCUAUGAUACUUUGUAUAUACUUCAAUUGCAUUUACAACAUUGUGUGGUAAUGAUUUGUCUAUAUGACCACCUUCCCUCACCCCUGGAUCUUCCAGGCUUGAGACACA
Dasypus novemcinctus (nine-banded armadillo) is the source of this 2702-nucleotide long non-coding RNA. The record is from Ensembl. NCBI's taxonomy places the organism in Eukaryota, Metazoa, Chordata, Mammalia, Cingulata, Dasypodidae.